RNAcentral lists this ribosomal RNA (253 nucleotides) under uncultured bacterium. Its description in RNAcentral is "partial 16S ribosomal RNA". It matches the Rfam family "Bacterial small subunit ribosomal RNA", at positions 524 to 776 of the family's 1533-position model. The record is from RNAcentral.
GACAGAGGUGCCAAGCGUUAGGCGGAAUCACUGGGCUUAAAGCGUGUGUAGGCGGAUCGUUAAGUACCUUGUGAAAUCCCACGGCUCAACCGUGGAACUGCUGGGUAUACUGGCGGUCUUGAGCCACCUAGGGGCAACUGGAACAAGCGGUGGAGCGGUGAAAUGCGUAGAUAUCGCUUGGAACGCCAAUGGUGAAAACAGGUAGCUGGGAGUGUGCUGACGCUGAGACACGAAAGCCAGGGGAGCGAACGGG